Molecule: ribosomal RNA, 389 nt
Filed under: uncultured bacterium
Lineage: Bacteria
Description: bacterial SSU rRNA
Rfam family: Bacterial small subunit ribosomal RNA
Source: RNAcentral
GACGAACGCUGGCGGCGUGCUUAACACAUGCAAGUCGAGCGGUAAGGCCCUUUCGGGGGUACACGAGCGGCGAACGGGUGAGUAACACGUGGGUGACCUGCCCUCAGCUCUGGGAUAAGCCUGGGAAACCGGGUCUAAUACUGGAUAUGACUCCAUGACGCAUGUUGUGGGGUGGAAAGCCUUGUGCGGCUGAGGAUGGGCCCGCGGCCUAUCAGCUUGUUGGUGGGGUGANGGCCUACCAAGGCGACGACGGGUAGCCGGCCUGAGAGGGCGACCGGCCACACUGGGACUGAGACAUGGCCCAGACUCCUACGGGAGGGCAGCAGUGGGGAAUCUUGCGCAAUGGGCGAAAGCCUGACGCAGCGACGCCGCGUGAGGGAUGACGGCCU